Molecule: long non-coding RNA, 202 nt
Filed under: Lathyrus oleraceus (garden pea)
Lineage: Eukaryota; Viridiplantae; Streptophyta; Magnoliopsida; Fabales; Fabaceae
Description: Pisum sativum (pea) long non-coding RNA (PSAT_LNC006948)
Source: RNAcentral
UUUAUAACACAUUGAAUUCAUACAAAAUUAUGGCAUUAACAAAAUUAUCUAAUCAAUUAUGAAUUAAUUCUUAUUCAUCAUGAAUAAGAGUAAAAAAAUAAUCUAAUAAAUUAUUAAUUGAAUCCUAUUAAUCAUUAAUUAAUUCUUAUUCUAUUCAAUUAUUAUGCAUUUAUUAAUUUAAAAAUAAAUACUAAUAAUUAAA